GAUGAACGCUGGCGGCGUGCCUAAUACAUGCAAGUCGAGCGAACAGACGAGGAUCUUGCUCCUCUGACGUUAGCGGCGGACGGGUGAGUAACACGUGGAUAACCUCCCUAUAAUACUGGGAUAACUUCGAGAAACCGGAUCUAAUACCGGAGAAUAUAUUGAACCGCGUGGGUCAUUGGUGAAAGACGGUUUUGGGGUCUGUUAUAGAUGGUUCCCCGCCGCAUGAGCUGGUUGGUAAGGUAAAGGCCUUCCAAGGCAACCAGGCGUAGCCGACCUGAGAGGCGGAUCGCCGACCUGGGAGGGGAGACGCGGACCAGGCGCCUAAGGGAGGCAGCAGUAGGGAAUCGUACGCAGUGGGCGAAAGCCUGACGGAGCAACGCGGCGCGAGUGAUGAAGGUCUCCGGAUCGUAAAACUCUGUUAUGGGGGAUGAACAGAUGUGUACGGAACUAUGCACGGCUUGACGGUACCUAAUCAGAAAGCCCCGGCUAACUACGUG
RNAcentral lists this ribosomal RNA (497 nucleotides) under uncultured bacterium. RNAcentral's name for it is "partial 16S ribosomal RNA". It matches the Rfam family "Bacterial small subunit ribosomal RNA", at positions 28 to 507 of the family's 1533-position model. The record is from RNAcentral.